RNAcentral lists this ribosomal RNA (622 nucleotides) under Laomedea flexuosa. RNAcentral's name for it is "partial 16S ribosomal RNA". It matches the Rfam family "Bacterial large subunit ribosomal RNA", at positions 1810 to 2617 of the family's 2925-position model. Lineage: Eukaryota; Metazoa; Cnidaria; Hydrozoa; Leptothecata; Obeliidae. The record is from RNAcentral.
AAAACAUAGCCCUAGAAAAUACCUAAGGUGUGACCUGCCCAGUGGUUUUUAAUUAUCAAUUUAAAAAAUUGAAAAUAAAACUAAAAGGACGCGGUAACCUUGACCGUGAUAAUGUAGCAUAAUCACUCGCCAUUUAAUUAAUGGAUAGUAUGAAUGGUUGAACGAAUAUUCCACUGUCUUAGAAGGAAUUAAAAGAAAUUGAAAUAAUAGUUAAGAUGCUAUUUUAAACUGUAAGACGAAAAGACCCUAUAGAGCUUAACUAUAAUUUUCAUUUAAUCUAAAAGAAAAUUGUUUUUUUAAUUAUGAAAAUUGGUAGUUUAGUUGGGGCGACUGUCUUCUAUAUUAAACGAAGACAAGCAAUAAUAAUAAAAGAUUUAUUGUAUAAUUAAAUGAUUUAACAAUUACUAUAGUAGGCUAUAUUGACCCGUUUGUACUAUAAAAUAAGAAAAACGAUCAAUUAAUAAAAGCUACCUUAGGGAUAACAGGAUAAUUUUAUUCUAGAGUCCAUAUCGAAAAUGAAGUUUGUCACCUCUAUGUUGAAUUAAGAUAUCCCGGUAAUGCAGUAGUUACCAAAGGUAGGUCUGUUCGACCUUUAAAAUCUUACAUGAUUUGAGUUCAUUCC